AGAGAGUUUGAAGAUGAACUAGAGGGACCAAGAUCUAAAUCACUUAAACUGCUGAGUGAUGAAAGUUCCUGGAAAGGGAAGAGCAAGUCUCGCAGAUCUUAUCCUCCUGAUCUAACCUUAUGUUAUGUACGAGGCUAUAAGGCCACCUAUUAUCCAUCACUACAAGAGGAGGCCCAAGGUCGGAACAGUAGAGGAGAAGAAUGAGACAAGAAAGGAUCUAGAAGGAUAAGAAUACAAGGAAGGAGGAGAGGACGUAAUAACCGUAUUGUCUGCGCACAUGGGUUGUCUGUGACGUGGCUAUUUGCUUUAUGCUUUCUAUAAGAGUAGUAAUGAAUAAGAGAAAUGUAUCGAGUGUGAUCAUCGAUCUUUUGUGUGAGGAGAGAGAGUACUCCUGUGUAAAAACUCUAAAACCUUUGUAUUAGCUUGUUCUCCAAGGAAUAUCUUUACAGUUUCUUUACGAGUGCAAACUUUUACAAUCUAGUCGUAUCAAACUUGGUAUCAGAGCAAGACGAACCUGCGGCUUGGCGAUGGCACCAAAGAAGAACGACGACAAGGCGAUCGAGCUGGCCCAACGUGACGACGAGAGAUUUGUCGCGAUGGAGGGGGAGCUAUCAACGAUGAAGGAACAAAUGGGUGAGUUGAUGAAGAUGAUGGCUAGUGGGUUUGAGAAACUCGCGCUGAGGAAGGUAGAUCCGACAGGGGAGAAGGAUCGGCGUGUAGGAGGGCCGAUAACCCCUGAUCUGAUCUCCAACCCAGCCGAUGCUCUCAAACCAACAGCGUAUCAGGGAGAAGGAUCGGGGAAGUCGAUUAUGGAGGAACCAAGGAGCGUUUCCGGUGGAAGGUUCGUAGCGGAGUCGGGGCAGGAGACAAGCUCCGCAGCGACACUAUACCGCCGGAAGACUGCUAUGGAGGAACGAGAAGAUUCACUCGCGCGGAAGAUAGAGAUUCCUCUGUUUGACGGUGACGGAGUGGAGAGUUGGGUGCACCGUGUCGAGCAGUACUUUGAGAUGUUUGAUUUCACGGAGGAAGAGAAGCUACGUGCGGUUAGGAUGUGUUAUACCGGCGAGGCUCUACCGUGGUACCGAUGGGAGAGAAACCGAAACCCGUUUCUCAGUUGGGAGCAGAUGAAGAUUCGGGUGUUGGAACAGUUCUCACCGGCUCAAGAUACGAGUGCAGGGGAGCGGGUGCUGUGCCUGCGACAAAAGGACACCGUACGCAACUACCGCCGCGAUUUCAUCGCACUCGCGUCUAACGCGCCGGAGAUACCAGAUCCGAUACUCGAGAUGGCGUUUCUGAACGGACUGCGACCAAAAAUCAAGGCCGGGGUGAAGUUGAUGAGUCCGAGGGGGUUGCAGAGGGUGAUGGAUGUGGCGAAGUUGGUCGAAGAUUGGUCGGAAGGGGGAGAUACGACGGAGGAAACAUCGGAGGAAAAGGACAAAACGAGUCGUAGCGUUAAUGGACGUCCGCAGGCCCAAAACAAUAAACCGGCCCAACAGAGUGGGAACGGGUCGAGCCCAAACAAGAAUAAAGCUGGUUCCGGGUCUACGACGUCGCAGAACAACACGACCACCAAACCUAACCAUAACCGUCUCAAACCGCCGUUUCGCCGUCUGACUCCGGCGGAGGUGGCAAAAUGGAAGGCUGAGGGACUGUGCUACAGAUGCGAUGAGAAGUACGUCUAUCCGCACCGUUGUUCCCAGGCGGAGCUGCUGGUUAUAAUGGUGCUAGAAGACGGUACGGAGGUGGAUAUAUCGAGUUUAGCGGUGGAGAUGGAUGAAAUGGGGGAAGCGGCCGAGAUCGAGGUGGCAGAGAUAUCGAUUAGCUCCCUCGUUGGCAUAUCAACUUCCAGAACCAUCAAGCUAAAAGGAACGGUGAUGGGAAAGGAAGUGAUAGUCUUGAUUGAUAGUGGGGCGACACACAAUUUUGUGUCCAGAGAGUUGAUGAAGCAACUAGACUUGGGUACCGACGACACACAAGGCUACAGCGUGUUGACGGCAGGAGGAGUCACAUUUAAAGGAGCGGGAUUGUGCAAGGAGAUGGAGGUGGAGUUACAAGGGUGUACUGUGGUUUCCAAUUUCUUACCCUUAGAGUUGGGAAGCGCUGAUGUAAUCUGGGGUAUGCAGUGGCUUGAGACCCUCGGAAAUAUGAAGGUUAACUGGAAGUUGCAGAUACUAAGGUUCAAGAUAGGAGACAACAAGUAUGUACUGCAAGGGGAUCCAGGCCUUUGUUGCUCUGCGGCUUCUCUCAAGUCGAUUUGGAAGACGGUGCAACAAGGGGGAGAAGCAAUGUUGAUUGAGUACAAUGGGUUACAGCUGGAGGAGGAAAAGGGUGGAGGGUCAAUUCCUCAGCCGCUGCAGAACAUUCUGAAGGAGUACGAGGAAGUGUUCGCAGAGCCACAGGGUCUGCCUCCGUCGAGAGGGAAGGAACACGCGAUCGUCCUAAAGACGGAUGCCAGUCCAGUAAGUGUUCGACCCUUUCGUUACCCACAAGCGCAACGGGAGGAGAUCGAGAAGCAGGUGGCAUUGAUGUUGUCGGCGGGAAUUAUCAGGGAUAGUAGCAGCCCUUUCUCGAGUCCGGUACUGCUAGUCAAGAAGAAGGAUGGGAGUUGGAGGUUUUGCGUGGACUAUCGCGCCUUGAAUAAAGUGACCAUCGCCGAUAGUUAUCCGAUACCUAUGAUUGACCAGUUGCUGGAUGAACUACAGGGGGCGAAGGUGUUUUCGAAGCUUGAUCUGAAGUCAGGGUAUCAUCAGAUUCUGGUGAAAGCAGAGGAUGUGCAGAAGACAGCGUUUCGAACCCAUGACGGCCACUACGAAUUCCUUGUUAUGCCGUUUGGGUUAUCCAACGCGCCAGCUACAUUCCAGUCUUUGAUGAAUGAGAUUUUUCGAAGCUACCUGAGGAAGUUUGUUUUGGUCUUCUUCGAUGACAUACUUGUGUACAGUCAGACACAAAGCGAGCACGAAGAACAUUUACGCUUAGUGUUGGAGGUGUUAAAAGAACAGGGCUUGUACGCAAAUCGCAAGAAAUGUGAAUUUGGAAGCUCUCGCAUAGAGUAUCUUGGUCAUGUGAUAAGCGCAGAAGGAGUGGCAGCUGAUGAAGGGAAGGUACGUGCUAUGCUAGACUGGAUGGAACCAAAAGCAGUGAAGGAGCUGAGGGGAUUUUUGGGGUUGACAGGGUACUACAGAAAAUUUGUUCAAGGGUAUGGCGAUAUUGCAAGGCCUCUCACGUCCCUGUUGAGGAAGGAUCAGUUCAAAUGGUCCGGUGAAGCAGCGUUAGCCUUUCAGAAACUGAAGCAGGCAAUGGCGACGGUUCCGGUACUGGCAUUGCCUGAUUUCAACGAGCAAUUCGUGAUAGAGUCGGACGCGUCUGGGGUGGGACUGGGCGCUGUGUUGAUGCAGCGACAGCGACCGAUCGCAUACUUCAGUCAGGCUUUGACGGAGCGACAGCAAAUGAAGUCUGUAUAUGAAAGAGAGCUCAUGGCGAUAGUCUUUGCCAUACAGAAAUGGCGUCACUACUUAUUGGGAAGGAAGUUUGUUGUAAGAACGGACCAGAAAAGUCUUAAGUUCUUGCUGGAGCAGCGGGAGAUUAACAUGGAAUAUCAGCGGUGGUUGACUAAGAUCCUCGGGUUCGAUUUCGAUAUACACUACAAGCCGGGGCUAGAAAAUAAAGCAGCUGACGCCCUGUCUCGGAAGAGUCCAGUUACUGAGCUGUUUGCAGUAUCAGUUCCGGUCUCAAUUCAGUUGGAGGAGGUGGGAUCAGAAGUGGAGCGAGACAGUGAGUUAUCGAAGUUGAUCCAAGAGUUAACUCAGGACCCUAGCUCACACCCUGAUUAUACUCUGGUGCAAGGAAGGUUGCUGAGGCACGGGAAGUUGGUGCUGCCAAAGACAUCCAAGUUGAUUGAGUUGAUACUAAAAGAGUAUCAUGACAGCAAAUAUGGAGGACAUGGGGGGGUACUAAAGACACAGAAGCGCAUUGGAGGGUUGUUUUACUGGGCAGGGAUGAUGACAGACAUCAGGAAGUACGUGGCGUCGUGUCAAACCUGUCAGCGUCACAAGUAUUCAACACUCGCGCCAGGAGGGCUGCUCCAACCCCUACCAGUUCCUACUAACGUCUGGGAGGACAUCUCACUAGACUUCAUCGAAGGGUUACCGAAAUCAGAGGGAGUUAAUGUCAUACUGGUGGUGAUCGACCGACUCACUAAGUAUGCACAUUUCAUCGGCCUUAGACAUCCGUUCACAGCCAUUGACGUUGCAAGGUCUUUUGUCCAGGAGGUGAUCAGGUUACACGGCUACCCUAAGACUAUUGUGUCGGACCGAGACCGUAUCUUCACGGGGCAGUUUUGGAAGGAGCUAUUCAGGUUGUCGGGAACUACUCUGUGUUUCUCAACAGCCUAUCACCCGCAGACGGAUGGGCAGACGGAAGUGACAAACCGAGGGCUUGAGACCUAUUUGAGGUGCUUUGCAGGAGAGAAACCACGGACAUGGGCAAAGUACUUACAGUGGGCUGAGUUCAGUUACAAUACGUCGUAUCAUUCUACCAUCCAGAUGUCUCCUUUUACCGCGUUGUAUGGGCGUGAACCACCAACUCUUCUCCACUACGAGAACGGUUCUACCAACAAUGCUGACUUGGAGUCUCGUCUGCAAGAGAGGGACGACAAUUUGGCUUUGUUGAGACAGCAGCUACUAAAGGCACAACAGAUCAUGAAGGCACGAGCAGAUGAGCAUCGCAGGGAAGUAGAAUUUGAGGUGGGUGAUAAGGUGUUCUUGAAAUUACGUCCCUACAGACAGAAGUCAUUGGCCAGGAAGGUGAAUGAGAAGUUGGCCGCUAGGUUCUACGGACCGUACGAGGUUGCUGCGCGAGUGGGUAAGGUAGCAUAUCGCUUGAACUUACCAGCAGAGGCUCGCAUCCACCCAACAUUCCAUGUUUCUCAGCUUAAGAAAGCAGUGGGCGGGUCUUUGGAAGCAGCCACCAUUCCGCCUCAGCUAACAGAAGAAGGAGUGUUAGAGGUCAAACCGGAAGCAGUGUUGGCACACAGGAGCAACGCGCAGACUGGGCAUGAGGAAGUCUUGGUUAAAUGGAAUGGGUUACCUGCUGCAGAUUGUACGUGGGAGUGGAAGACGUCAUGGAGAAGCAGUUUCCUGAGCUUGACCUUGAGGACAAGGUCAGUUUCAAUGGAGGGAGUAAUGUUAUGUACGAGGCUAUAAGGCCACCUAUUAUCCAUCACUACAAGAGGAGGCCCAAGGUCGGAACAGUAGAGGAGAAGAAUGAGACAAGAAAGGAUCUAGAAGGAUAAGAAUACAAGGAAGGAGGAGAGGACGUAAUAACCGUAUUGUCUGCGCACAUGGGUUGUCUGUGACGUGGCUAUUUGCUUUAUGCUUUCUAUAAGAGUAGUAAUGAAUAAGAGAAAUGUAUCGAGUGUGAUCAUCGAUCUUUUGUGUGAGGAGAGAGAGUACUCCUGUGUAAAAACUCUAAAACCUUUGUAUUAGCUUGUUCUCCAAGGAAUAUCUUUACAGUUUCUUUACGAGUGCAAACUUUUACAAUCUAGUCGUAUCACCUUAUCACCACCCGUUGAUGGUGCUGAUCGUUCCACUACUAGAAGACGGUAUCUUCAGCAGAAGAGUGAUAGCCAUUUGUUUGAGAAAGGGUUAGAGUCUGAGCAUCACAAGAUGAGUGUCAAGAAGGCACGGAGCCACGACUCUUUGGAGUUCAAACCAAGGAAUGAUAAAGCUUCAAGGCGUUCUUCACGAGGUGGCAGUGAAACUUUGGUGGUGAAAGACAACAAAAGAAACUCAGAGGAUGAUGAUGACUCUGAGGAUUAUGAUGAUAACAAGGAAGUAAUAUCAAACCGUCCAAGAUGUGAACCACAAUCUUGGAGAGGUUCUAGUAAAGUUUCAUCAAUAGGAAAGUCUGUGAGGACUAUAAGAUCUGAUUCAUCUGAUGAUAGGGCAGGAAGAAGAAAACCAAGAAGACAAUGGCAACAAGAACUAGCAAUAGUACUACACCAAGAGAAGCAUUCAGAAACUCUCACUACAUCAGAGCCAGAAGAUGAUGAUGAUGAUGAUGUUAUGGAAGAGAGUGAGGCAGAGCAACCUGAUGUUACCUUGGAGGAGGAAGAGGAAGAAGUUGCUGCUGUUUGGGAAAGCCAGAGCAAUGCAAGCAAUGAGCAUUAUGAAGUUGAUAGAAAAGCUGAUGAGUUCAUAGCAAAGUUCAGAGAACAGAUUAGGUUGCAGAAACUUCAUUCUGGUGAGCAACGAAGAGGAGGUGGCACUGGCGUUAUCAGAAACAGACACUUCAGAUGAUACUACACUACACUCACCAUUGCUUCAUUUUUACUUGUAUUAUUUUGAUGUAAUAAUUUAUUUGUCUGCAUUUGUUGAUGAGAAUCUUGUUGAAUCAUCACUCUCUUUGUUUGAGGUUUAUACUGUUGAGUAAAAUGAAAAUUUAUUAAUGAAUAAUUAUGCUCUUUGACUG
Molecule: long non-coding RNA, 6468 nt
Filed under: Brassica napus (rape)
Lineage: Eukaryota; Viridiplantae; Streptophyta; Magnoliopsida; Brassicales; Brassicaceae
Description: long non-coding RNA (BNAP_LNC003298)
Source: RNAcentral